Ostrea edulis (European flat oyster) is the source of this 753-nucleotide long non-coding RNA. RefSeq lists it as uncharacterized. NCBI's taxonomy places the organism in Eukaryota, Metazoa, Mollusca, Bivalvia, Ostreida, Ostreidae. The transcript is spliced from 2 exons. The record is from RefSeq and is a predicted model, not a curated record.
AAACAAAGUUCUAUAAAAUGAAGAACUGUUUUAAUUAUUAAGACGUUAGAAAGCAAGUAUAUCAACAUAUACUUAUACAUUAACUCGGGAGUAUAUAAUGGAAAACUCUUCCAUAUGUCUAAUUUUAGGGGGUGGGGGAAUUAUGAUUUAAACGGGGAUGCGCAGUGUUACACUUAGAGUUGUGAUGCGCUUUGAUUUUUGAAAAGUGAAGACGUUGAAGACCGACUUUGAAAGAUAUUGUGUGGAUAUUACGGAGUUAACAGAAGACUGAGAUGGAGGAACAUGAAGAACAGGGCAGCAGUCGUCAGGUGUAGGCAACUCAUUUAUAGACAGGACAGAGGACGCAGCUCAGAUGAAUCUCCGGAAAGAACUGAACAUCGCAGAGAAUGAGGAACUGCACGAAGGUUUUUAACGACGCCUCGCUUCGAUGUCCCGACAUAAACUUGGAAACCGACAUCAAGCACUAUGGCUGCUGUGGCACGGAAGCAGUGUGGUGUGUAGGUCUUAAUGCACUUUGACGACUUAUCGGCCAUACAUCCUAUGAAUGACCUUUUUGCUAAAGCCUAAUGUCAUCGUCUAGCAGUAGGUACAAUUCCGCAUCACCGAUGACCAGGGUGAAGUUGUAGCAGACGAAAUUUUAGACAUACAUUAGGCCUAGUAGGCUAGUAACUAAAGACAUUGUUUACAGAAAUGCUUUUAUCAAUUAUUGAUGAAAGUCCACUGCUUGGAAUACAAAUAAAACCGUAAAUACAU